Lontra canadensis (Northern American river otter) is the source of this 318-nucleotide long non-coding RNA. RefSeq lists it as uncharacterized. The transcript has 3 exons. NCBI's taxonomy places the organism in Eukaryota, Metazoa, Chordata, Mammalia, Carnivora, Mustelidae. The record is from RefSeq and is a predicted model, not a curated record.
UAACAAAUUUUAGCAAGAAAAGAGAACAGGAGAUAAAGGUGGUCAGAGAGCUGCAUGGGGGUGAGAAAAAAGAUCUGUUGAGGGACAUAGGAGACAAAGGAGAGAGGAAAGGUCUACCUGUGGCUAUAGGGACACUGAGAUGAGAAAGGAACCUGCUUGGGGAGACCAAAAGGGAACACAGACACGUAGAUGGAGAGAGGUAGGGAGACAAAGGGAAGAAAGGGAGAGGGAGAGAGCGAGAUUGCAGGACUCAAGAAGAAACCUGGUAUGCUAAGUAGCAAGCUAGGCGUCUCUUCCCUGGCUCUGAUGUCCAGGAUG